RNAcentral lists this ribosomal RNA (1368 nucleotides) under uncultured fungus. Its description in RNAcentral is "eukaryotic LSU rRNA". The stretch from base 715 to 1368 matches the Rfam family "Eukaryotic large subunit ribosomal RNA", at positions 1 to 667 of the family's 3401-position model. The record is from RNAcentral. Lineage: Eukaryota; Fungi.
CUUGGUCAUUUAGAGGAAGUAAAAGUCGUAACAAGGUUUCCGUAGGUGAACCUGCGGAAGGAUCAUUAUCGUAACAAAAUGUGUGAGGCACGCAAGGGCUGUCGCUGACUUUUGACGCAAAAGUUGUGCACGCCGGAGUGUGUCCUCUCACAUAAAAUCCAUCUCACCCUUUUGUGCACCACCGCGUGGGCACCCCUUCGGGAUCAAACUGAUCCAGGAGGGGGCUUGCGUUUUCACACAAACCCCAUUUUUAAAAAGUGUAGAAUGACCUCAUUUUUGCGAUAACACGCAAUCAAUACAACUUUCAACAACGGAUCUCUUGGCUCUCGCAUCGAUGAAGAACGCAGCGAAAUGCGAUACGUAAUGUGAAUUGCAGAAUUCAGUGAAUCAUCGAAUCUUUGAACGCACCUUGCGCCCCUUGGUAUUCCGAGGGGCACACCCGUUUGAGUGUCGUGAAAAUCUCAACCUUCUCGGUUUUCUUCUGGAUGCCGAGGGAGGCUUGGACUUUGGAGGCCUUUGCUGGCGUCUCUCGCCAGCUCCUCUCAAAUGAAUUAGCGGGGUCCUCUUUGCCGGUCCUCGACAUGUGAUAAGAUGUUUCCAUGUCUUGGUUUCUGGCUCUGUUGCCUUUGGGACCCGCUUCUGACCGUCUCAACGACGAUGUUUGUGAGCGCGUCUCCCUUCUCGGGAAACUCUCUCUCAAACCCCACGAACCCUUGACCUCAAAUCGGGUGAGACUACCCGCUGAACUUAAGCAUAUCAAUAAGCGGAGGAAAAGAAACUAACAAGGAUUCCCCUAGUAACUGCGAGUGAAGCGGGAAAAGCUCAAAUUUAAAAUCUGGCGGUCUUUGGCUGUCCGAGUUGUAAUCUGGAGAAGCGUUUUCCGCGUCGGACCGUGUACAAGUCUUCUGGAAUGGAGCGUCGUAGAGGGUGAGAAUCCCGUACGUGACUGGUUGCCUCCGCCCGUGUAAAGCUCUUUCGACGAGUCGAGUUGUUUGGGAAUGCAGCUCAAAAUGGGUGGUAAAUUUCAUCUAAAGCUAAAUAUUGGCCAGAGACCGAUAGCGCACAAGUAGAGUGAUCGAAAGAUGAAAAGCACUUUGGAAAGAGAGUUAAACAGUACGUGAAAUUGUUGAAAGGGAAGCGCUUGCAACCAGACUUGCAUGCGGUUGAUCAUCCGAGCUUCUGCCCGGUGCACUCGAUCGUAUUCAGGCCAGCAUCGGUUUUGGUGGGCGGAUAAAGGCCUUGGGAAUGUAGCUUCCUUCGGGGAGUGUUAUAGCCCUCGGUGCAAUGCGCCCUACCGGGACCGAGGACCGCGCUUCGGCUAGGAUGCUGGCGUAAUGGUUGUAAGCGACCCGUCUUGAAACACGGACC